Molecule: long non-coding RNA, 1202 nt
Filed under: Anolis carolinensis (green anole)
Lineage: Eukaryota; Metazoa; Chordata; Lepidosauria; Squamata; Anolidae
Description: lncRNA (ENSACAG00000038235.1)
Source: RNAcentral
GCUGCUAGGAGGAUUUGUUUCUGGAUUUGUUCAAGUCAUGGACUCAGCAUAUGGUGUAUUCAGUGAGAGCGAAGUCAUUAGCAAGGGGAAACCUAUGACUGUUCAAGUGUGGAGUCUUGAAAACCGAAAAACAAAGAGAAAAUGGGGUUGUUGUAUGUCUAGCAUCCAAUUACUAGACUCCAGAAGCAUUCUCUCCUGACGUUUCGCCCACAUCUAUGGCAGGCAUCCUCAGAGGUUGUGAGGUAUGGAGAAAACUAAGCAAAGAGGUUAAUAUAUAUCUGUGGAAAGUCUAGGGUGAGAGAGGUCAGUGUGAAUGUGUAGUUAAUCACUUAAAUUAGCAUUGAAAAGCUUAUCUGCUGUCUUCUUCCUGCCUCUGGGGCAUCCUUUGUUUAGAGUCGUUAACUGCCCUUGGUUGAUUCAUGUCUGGAAACCCUCUGUUUUCAGAGUAUUGCUUUUUAUUUACUGUUCUGAUUUUUGAGUUUUGUAAUACUGGUAGCCAGAUUUUGUUCAUUUUCAUGGUUUCUUCCUUUCUGUUGAAGUUGUCCACAUGCUUGUGGAUUUCAAUGGCUUCUCUGUGUAGUCUGACAUGAUAGUUGUUAGAAUGAACCAGCCUGGACACAGAAUACUAUUUGAGAACACAAAAAUGCUGGACCAUUCUAACAACUAUCAUGUCAGACUACACAGAGAAGCCAUUGAAAUCCACAAGCAUGUGGACAACUUCAACAGAAAGGAAGAAACCAUGAAAAUGAACAAAAUCUGGCUACCAGUAUUACAAAACUCAAAAAUCAGAACAGUAAAUAAAAAGCAAUACUCUGAAAACAGAGGGUUUCCAGACAUGAAUCAACCAAGGGCAGUUAACGACUCUAAACAAAGGAUGCCCCAGAGGCAGGAAGAAGACAGCAGAUAAGCUUUUCAAUGCUAAUUUAAGUGAUUAACUACACAUUCACACUGACCUCUCUCACCCUAGACUUUCCACAGAUAUAUAUUAACCUCUUUGCUUAGUUUUCUCCAUACCUCACAACCUCUGAGGAUGCCUGCCAUAGAUGUGGGCGAAACGUCAGGAGAGAAUGCUUCUGGAACAUGGCCACACAGCCCGAAAGACAUACAACAACCCUGUGAUCCCGGCCAUGAAAGCCUUCGACAACACAAAGAGAAAAUGGAAAUUGUGAGAAUAUUAGCAUCCAAUUACUAGACUACUAUUU